This 253-nucleotide ribosomal RNA is filed under the name uncultured bacterium. RNAcentral's name for it is "partial 16S ribosomal RNA". It matches the Rfam family "Bacterial small subunit ribosomal RNA", at positions 524 to 776 of the family's 1533-position model. The record is from RNAcentral.
GACGUAGGGGGCAAGCGUUGUUCGGAAUUAUUGGGCGUAAAGCGCUCGUAGGCGGGACUGGAAGUCCGUGUUGAAAGACCUCGGCUCAACUGAGGGACCGGCUCGGAUACUCUAGUUCUUGAGGCAAUCAGAGGGUGAUGGAAUUCCCGGUGUAGCGGUGAAAUGCGUAGAUAUCGGGAAGAACACCCAUGGCGAAGGCAGCUCUCUGGGACGGUACUGACGCUGAGACGCGAAAGCGUGGGGAGCGAACAGG